CGGUACUAAGCGUGUAGCAGCCUUUGUUUGCCCAGGUUCGGACGCGGGUUCGAUUCCCGCCACCUCCACCA
Molecule: transfer-messenger RNA, 71 nt
Filed under: Pseudomonadota bacterium
Lineage: Bacteria; Pseudomonadati; Pseudomonadota
Rfam family: transfer-messenger RNA
About the family: Bacterial tmRNA, also known as 10Sa RNA or SsrA, is named for its dual tRNA and mRNA-like properties. Its role is to liberate the mRNA from a stalled ribosome.
Source: Rfam by way of RNAcentral